AGCUCUGAGGUGUUCACACGCCUGAUUGCAAAUCAGGAGUAGUAGAUUAAUUUCUGCCGGGGCUU
RNAcentral lists this transfer RNA (65 nucleotides) under Schindleria praematura (Schindler's fish). Its description in RNAcentral is "tRNA-Cys". Lineage: Eukaryota; Metazoa; Chordata; Actinopteri; Gobiiformes; Schindleriidae. The record is from RNAcentral.